RNAcentral lists this transfer RNA (67 nucleotides) under fish gut metagenome. It matches the Rfam family "tRNA". From Rfam's summary of the family: Transfer RNA (tRNA) molecules are approximately 80 nucleotides in length. Their secondary structure includes four short double-helical elements and three loops (D, anti-codon, and T loops). Further hydrogen bonds mediate the characteristic L-shaped molecular structure. tRNAs have two regions of fundamental functional importance: the anti-codon, which is responsible for specific mRNA codon recognition, and the 3' end, to which the tRNAs corresponding amino acid is attached (by aminoacyl-tRNA synthetases). tRNAs cope with the degeneracy of the genetic code in two manners: having more than one tRNA (with a specific anti-codon) for a particular amino acid; and 'wobble' base-pairing, i.e. permitting non-standard base-pairing at the 3rd anti-codon position. The record is from RNAcentral.
GAAAGUGGCUCAGUGGUAGAGCGUCGCCUUGCCAAGGCGAAUGUCGCGAGUUCGAAUCUCGUCUUUC